CGGUAAUACAGAGGUGGCGAGCGUUGUUCGGAAUUACUGGGCUUAAAGGGCGAGUAGGCGGUGGAGCAAGUCUGAGGUGGAAUCCUACGGCUUAACCGUAGAACUGCCUUGAGAACUGCUUUACUUGAGUCAGUGAGGGGAGGGCGGAAUUCCUGGUGUAGCGGUGGAAUCGGUAGAUAUCAGGAGGAAGGCCUGUGGCGAAAGUGGCCCUCUGGCACUGUACUGACGCUGAGGCGCGAAGGGGUGGGGAGCAAACAGGAUUAGAUACCCUGGUAGUCCACGCCCUAAACGGUGGGCAUUAGGUGUAGGGCUCGUAAGGGUUCUGUGCCGAAGGGAAACCAUUAAAUGCCCCGCCUGGGGAGUACGGCCGCAAGGUUGAA
Molecule: ribosomal RNA, 380 nt
Filed under: uncultured bacterium
Lineage: Bacteria
Description: bacterial SSU rRNA
Rfam family: Bacterial small subunit ribosomal RNA
Source: RNAcentral